RNAcentral lists this transfer RNA (73 nucleotides) under Caudoviricetes sp. Its description in RNAcentral is "tRNA-Met". It matches the Rfam family "tRNA". From Rfam's summary of the family: Transfer RNA (tRNA) molecules are approximately 80 nucleotides in length. Their secondary structure includes four short double-helical elements and three loops (D, anti-codon, and T loops). The record is from RNAcentral. Lineage: Duplodnaviria; Heunggongvirae; Uroviricota; Caudoviricetes.
GGGCCAUUAGCUCAAUGGUAAGAGCAGCCGGCUCAUAACCGGUUGGUUAUAGGUUCAAAUCCUAUAUGGCCCA